This 1482-nucleotide ribosomal RNA is filed under the name Triticum aestivum (bread wheat). Its description in RNAcentral is "partial small subunit ribosomal RNA". The record is from RNAcentral. Lineage: Eukaryota; Viridiplantae; Streptophyta; Magnoliopsida; Poales; Poaceae.
AUGGCGGGGAAGCAGUUCCCCUCCCUCGCGCACGCGCGCCGCGCCUCCUCCCGCUGCCUGCUCGCCGUCGGCGCCCUCCUCGUCUUCUCCGCCGUCUACUUCCUCCUCCUCUCCCCCUCGCCGCCGCGCCCCGUCGCCGGCCCGCUCCCCAACCCUAGCAGCGCUACCACCUCCUUCGUCGCCUCCCUCGACCGCUUCCUCGACUCCCCGCACCGCCCCGCCGCCUCCUCCGCGGCGCCCGGGGACCUCGACGCCGCGAUCCGGAGGGAGGAGGAGGCCCGGCUGUACGGGGACCCACGGGGCGCGUGGCCGGCGCCGCUAAGGGUCUACGUGUACGAGAUGCCACGCAAGUUCACCUACGACCUGCUCAGGCUGUUCAGGGACUCGUACCGCGACACCACCAACCUCACCUCCAACGGGAGCCCCGUGCACAGGCUCAUCGAGCAGCAUUCUAUUGACUACUGGCUGUGGGCGGAUCUCAUUGCUCCUGAAUCACAAAGACUUCUGAAGAAUGUUAUCAGGGUUGAGCAGCAAGAAGAAGCAGACAUUUUCUACGUGCCAUUUUUCACAACAAUCAGUUACUUCUUGCUGGAGAAACAAGAAUGCAAGGCACUUUAUAGGGAAGCUUUGAAGUGGGUGACUGAUCAACCUGCUUGGCAACGUUCAGAAGGCAGAGAUCAUGUUAUUCCUGUUCAUCACCCAUGGUCUUUUAAGUCAGUCCGAAGGUUUGUGAAGAAAGCAAUAUGGCUUCUACCUGAUAUGGAUUCUACUGGGAACUGGUAUAAACCUGGGCAAGUUUAUCUGGAAAAGGAUGUUAUCCUUCCAUAUGUCCCAAAUGUUGACCUUUGUGAUUAUAAGUGUGUGUCAGAAACUCAAUCUAAAAGAAGUACGUUGCUGUUUUUCCGAGGAAGACUUAAAAGAAAUGCUGGUGGGAAGAUACGCAGUAAGCUUGUGACAGAAUUACAAAGUAUAGAAGACAUAAUUAUAGAAGAAGGGUCUGCUGGCGCCAAGGGGAAAGUAGCAGCUCAGACUGGCAUGCGCAAGUCUCUCUUUUGCUUGAAUCCUGCUGGGGACACUCCAUCUUCUGCUCGCCUGUUUGAUGCAAUUGUUAGUGGAUGUAUCCCAGUUAUAAUCAGCGAUGAGCUAGAGCUUCCUUUUGAAGGAAUACUUGACUACAGCAAGAUAGCAUUGUUUGUUUCAUCAACUGAUGCUGUGCAACCUGGCUGGCUGGUGAAGUACCUAAGAGGCAUUGAUGCCCAAAGAGUUAGGGAGAUGCAAUCCAAUCUUCUCAAGUACUCGAGGCAUUUUCUAUAUUCAAGUCCUGCUCAGCCCCUUGGACCAGAAGACCUUACAUGGAGAAUGAUUGCUGGCAAGCUGGUGAACAUCAAGUUGCAUAUUCAGCGGUCGCGGCGCGUGGUCAGAGAAUCAAGAAGCGUAUGCACAUGUGAGUGUAGAGUCGGGAACACUACGAGGAUGCUCUGA